UGGGGAAUAUUGCGCAAUGGAGGAAACUCUGACGCAGCGACGCCGCGUGGGUGAUGAAGGCCUUCGGGUUGUAAAGCCCUGUCGGCUGGGAAAAAGGUAGUCGUGCUAAUACCACGAUUGCUUGAUGGUACCAGCAAAGGAAGCACCGGCUAACCCUGUGCCAGCAGCCGCGGUAAUACAGGGGGUGCAAGCGUUGUUCGGAAUUACUGGGCGUAAAGGGCGCGUAGGCGGCCUAACAAGUCAGGUGUGAAAGCCCGGGGCUCAACUCCGGAAGUGCAUUUGAAACUGUUAGGCUAGAGUACAGUAGAGGUUGGUGGAAUUCCCAGUGUAGAGGUGAAAUUCGUAGAUAUUGGGAGGAACACCAGUGGCGAAGGCGGCCAACUGGGCUGUAACUGACGCUGAGGCGCGAAAGCGUGGGGAGCAAACAG
Molecule: ribosomal RNA, 428 nt
Filed under: uncultured bacterium
Lineage: Bacteria
Description: bacterial SSU rRNA
Rfam family: Bacterial small subunit ribosomal RNA
Source: RNAcentral